This 21-nucleotide unclassified non-coding RNA is filed under the name Dictyostelium discoideum. Lineage: Eukaryota; Evosea; Eumycetozoa; Dictyosteliales; Dictyosteliaceae. The record is from RNAcentral.
CAACUAUUAACGGUCAUCGAU